AGUGAACGCUGGCGGUAGGCCUAACACAUGCAAGUCGAACGGCAGCACAGUAAGAGCUUGCUCUUACGGGUGGCGAGUGGCGGACGGGUGAGGAAUACAUCGGAAUCUACUUUUUCGUGGGGGAUAACGUAGGGAAACUUACGCUAAUACCGCAUACGACCUACGGGUGAAAGCAGGGGAUCUUCGGACCUUGCGCGAUUGAAUGAGCCGAUGUCGGAUUAGCUAGUUGGCGGGGUAAAGGCCCACCAAGGCGUCGAUCCGUAGCUGGUCUGAGAGGAUGAACAGCCACACUGGAACGGAGAAACGGGCCAGACCACUAGGGGAGGCAGAAGGGGGGAAUAUUGGAAAAGGGGGGAAAGCCUGAUCCAGCCAUACCGGGUGGGGGAAGAAGGCCUUCGGGUUGUAAAGCCCUUUUGUGGGGAAAAAAAAGCAGCAGGUUAAAACCCCGCUGUUCUGACGGUACCAAAAGAAUAAGCAACGGCUAACUUCGU
Molecule: ribosomal RNA, 491 nt
Filed under: uncultured bacterium
Lineage: Bacteria
Description: partial 16S ribosomal RNA
Rfam family: Bacterial small subunit ribosomal RNA
Source: RNAcentral